UACGUAGGGUGCAAGCGUUGUCCGGAAUUAUUGGGCGUAAAGAGCUCGUAGGCGGUCUGUCGCGUCUGCUGUGAAAAUCCGAGGCUCAACCUCGGACUUGCAGUGGGUACGGGCAGACUAGAGUGUGGUAGGGGAGACUGGAAUUCCUGGUGUAGCGGUGGAAUGCGCAGAUAUCAGGAGGAACACCGAUGGCGAAGGCAGGUCUCUGGGCCAUUACUGACACU
This 224-nucleotide ribosomal RNA is filed under the name uncultured bacterium. Its description in RNAcentral is "partial 16S ribosomal RNA". It matches the Rfam family "Bacterial small subunit ribosomal RNA", at positions 524 to 747 of the family's 1533-position model. The record is from RNAcentral.